This is a non-coding RNA of Tetracentron sinense, 117 nucleotides long. Lineage: Eukaryota; Viridiplantae; Streptophyta; Magnoliopsida; Trochodendrales; Trochodendraceae. The record is from the annotation of a GenBank genome assembly.
UCCGCUAUGAUCACGCAUCCUUACACUAGAUCCUAUCAGAACUCCGCUAUUAAGUGUACUUGUGCGAGAAUAGUACUAGGAUAGGUGACCUCCUGGGAAGUCCUCGUGUUACACUCC